CUACGCUCUGAAAAUUUACGACAUUAUAGAAAAAGACAAUUAAGAAAAGGGAAGGAGAAUAUGAAUAAAAUACAUACUGUAUAUGUCAAUGUUCAAGAUUGUCAAGAAAUCUUUUAUCCUUAGAGUUAAUCGAAAGAAUAUAUUUAGACUAUUCAAAAUGCUAUCCUUCGACUAAUGUAAUUGAUUGUGAAGAAAAAGAAAUCUACCAACCUGUGAUACAUCGUGAUAUACAUAUAUAAUAUUCCUAUACAUGUAUACAUAUAUGUAUAUAUACAUGUUUUAUUGAUCUCUAUCUUGUCGAUAUAUGAGUAAGUAACUCUAUUACAAUAAAAUAUAUUCCCUCUUAUUAUAGAGCUUGAUCUUUUUAUUAUAUAUUUUUCGAUAAUAUUCAAAUUAUUAUCUUACAUCGAUUGGAGGUUUAAAAACGAUUUUGUUAUAUAGUUCAUUCUUAACCAAUUAAAAAGAAGAAAAACCGCAACAAUUUGUGAGAGUGAAUAGAAUGUUACACUGUGGGAAAUAAUAGUUAAAUAAUAUCUAUGUUGCUGAAGGAAGUUAUAUCAGCACGGUUUCCUUCCUGAUAAUCUUUUUCAAAUAUUCGCGCGUGGAUGAAUAAGGGAAAUUUGUGAGACAUUUGAAAAGCAUUCGAUCCAGGAUUUUAACACGGAAACAUUUACAGUACAAGAUUCACAUUUGCACGAAUGAUAUCUAAAAAUAGGUCGUUACUCGACGACUGGUACGCGACAGCAACAGCAUGGGGCUUCAUUAUUGAUAAGUCCUGAUAAAAGUUAAUAAAAGCGAUUUAAAUAGACAUACUUGAGAGGAUCCACUUAUGAUACUUGAAUUUCGAGUUCACCCAGUACAAGUGUUCGCUUUUAAGUUUAGCUCAUUUGGAUUUACAAAAAUUCCAUCGACAUUCUUUCUAUUACGAAUAGAUGUUACAGUUCUUUGACACCUUUAAUUUAUUAGUAGUUGAAUAUCAUACUAAUUAUAUUAUAUAGUACUGUAUGUUAUAUUAAUAGUAUCGUACUAUGUCAUACUAAUACUGUUAUAAUGUAUAAGCUGCAGAUGUUUAUGAAUUUAUAGAGAACUUGAAUAUAUAAAAAUAGAUAAAGUAAAACAAAACAUAUUAGGUGCUAUUUCAUUAGUUGUAUUCAUGCAAAUAUAAAUUUGCAUAAAUAUCUGUAUUGUAAUAAUAGAAUAUGAUUAAUGAUUUUUUUCA
This is a long non-coding RNA of Bombus pascuorum, 1219 nucleotides long. RefSeq lists it as uncharacterized. The transcript has 3 exons. NCBI's taxonomy places the organism in Eukaryota, Metazoa, Arthropoda, Insecta, Hymenoptera, Apidae. The record is from RefSeq and is a predicted model, not a curated record.